Molecule: long non-coding RNA, 798 nt
Organism: Ziziphus jujuba (common jujube)
Lineage: Eukaryota; Viridiplantae; Streptophyta; Magnoliopsida; Rosales; Rhamnaceae
Exons: 3
Source: RefSeq, a predicted model, not a curated record
GAUGGAGCACAGUAUAAAAGAACUUCUCAUCUUCAUCAGCUUUCUCCAUUGGCAAGUUAGAAGUCUCAAAAGUUCCUCUUUCUUAUAGAAGAGAUUCUUCCUUCAAAACUCUUUGGAUCAGUUUCAUCAUGUACAGCAACUACUGGAAUAAAGCUAAGAGCCUUUUCAGAGCCUCAAACCAGCAAGAAGUUGACAAAGACGUUGCCAAUGGCUAUGCACUGUUAAAAGCCACUUGCACAGGGAAAAAUAUCAGGUUAGGAGUGCAAUGAAAGCUCAAAUGAACUCUAUAACAAGUUAUCGGUGUUAGUAGCCAGAUGCACAAAAAGCUCCAAUGAACUCUAUCACAAGUUAUCCUAUACCGGUGUUAGAAGCCAGGUUAGAGAUGCUAAACUAAGAAGAAGAAAAUAUAAGGUGGUCGUUGUGGUGGAGGGUAAUAAAGAAGCAGAUGUUACCUCUAGUUUAUCUUCUCUCGCCCUAUGGUUCUUCGGAAGUCGUCUGAACUCCUCUGUCAAACGAAGGCAUUCAUGCACAUUUUCUGGAGAGACAAAGUCUACAGCAACUUUGGUGCAGGACUGCACGAUGAAAAGGAAAAAAAAAACGGAGUCAGCAAGACAAACUCAUUGAAAACAAAAAGCAAUCCACACAUAAAGAUUAAAACUUCGUCCAAAAAUAAAAGGGAAGGAUUAAAGCUGAUGAUCUAUAAACCUUAAGAUUUCUAACUUGAUGCGGGCAUCCAGCAGGAAUAAAUACAGCCUCUCCAAGUCUUUGCUCGAAUGUCCAUGGUUCGAUACCUAAAAA